GAUACUUGAUCAAUUGCGCAUCAUUUAAUGCGAGCAAUUUAAUUGAUAUAAGAUGGCUUUUUUAACGGUUGGUGUCAUGAUACAUGUUUGGACAACCAAAAAAUGCAUAAUAAACUCAUCAUAAAAUUAUUUAUUAUCUCCAUCUUAUUCGUUGAGAUGUUCGGCACAUUAUCCUCUUUCAUGGAAGUAUAGAAGAAGAGGAGGGGAUUGCCUCCGAAGAAGGUGGUGGAAGCGAGCACUUAUCAUCGCACUCCUGCAUCGACUUGUAGCAUUGCCAAUUUCCAACACAGCAGUAGCAUCUAUCUUUAUCUGGGUGGCAGAUUGGGAUACUGUGACUCUUUAUGCACCAAGUUUCAGGGUCAUUGUCUUUGAGGAUUCUGCCACUGCCUAUAAAAUUAUAGACACGAGUGUAACAUUAGUAUUCAAAUGAGAAGAAGUAAAUGAUAUAAUCAACAUGAAAAUAUGAUAUGUUAAGUGGUGGAAUUUUACAUUGCCCAUGGGUAGCGAAACCUGUGAGAAGAAGAAAUAGAAAUAGUGCAUGGAUGCUCUUCGUGCACUCUGCCAUAUUGUGAGCGAACGAACACGAUUGGAAUAGGCUAGCUAUUUGAUCUGGAAACGGUAGCUUGUGUCUUGGGA
RNAcentral lists this long non-coding RNA (636 nucleotides) under Triticum aestivum (bread wheat). Its description in RNAcentral is "long non-coding RNA (TAES_LNC026465)". Lineage: Eukaryota; Viridiplantae; Streptophyta; Magnoliopsida; Poales; Poaceae. The record is from RNAcentral.